GCGGGUAUCGUAUAACGGUAUUACGUCUGGUUGCCAAUCAGACAACACGGGUUCGACUCCCGUUACCCGCU
This 71-nucleotide transfer RNA is filed under the name bacterium. RNAcentral describes it as "tRNA-Gly". It matches the Rfam family "tRNA". From Rfam's summary of the family: Transfer RNA (tRNA) molecules are approximately 80 nucleotides in length. Their secondary structure includes four short double-helical elements and three loops (D, anti-codon, and T loops). The record is from RNAcentral.